RNAcentral lists this unclassified non-coding RNA (467 nucleotides) under uncultured Russula. RNAcentral describes it as "sequence contains ITS2". The stretch from base 1 to 154 matches the Rfam family "5.8S ribosomal RNA". Lineage: Eukaryota; Fungi; Basidiomycota; Agaricomycetes; Russulales; Russulaceae. The record is from RNAcentral.
AACUUCUGGCAAUGGAUCACUUGGCUCUCGCAUCGAUGAAGAACGCAGCGAAAUGCGAUACGUAAUGUGAAUUGCAGAAUUCAGUGAAUCAUCGAAUCUUUGAACGCACCUUGCGCCCCCUGGCAUUCCGAGGGGCACACCCGUUUGAGUGUCGUGAAAUUCUCAAAAUCCUUUUCUUUGACCGGAAUAGGUCUUUUGGACUUGGAGGUUCAAAGCUCGCUUUCUGCUUUGAAAGCGAGCUCCUCUCAAAUGAAUCAGUGGGGUCCGCUUUGCUGGUCCUUGACGUGAUAAGAUGCUUCUACGUUUUGGAUUUGGCAUUGUUUUCUCCGCUCCUACCUGUCCCCAUGGGACAACGAUGGUGCUUCGGUCGUCGCCAUCUAUGGCGGGAGGCUGAACCCACAAAGAACUUUGACCUCAAAUCGGGUGAGACUACCCGCUGAACUUAAGCAUAUCAAUAAGCGGAGGCU